This is a non-coding RNA of Oryza sativa Japonica Group (Japanese rice), 1617 nucleotides long. The record is from RefSeq and is a predicted model, not a curated record. NCBI's taxonomy places the organism in Eukaryota, Viridiplantae, Streptophyta, Magnoliopsida, Poales, Poaceae.
UUUCACUAGUGGCAUUGCAACCCGUCAAAGAUGUAAAGUACUGUGAAAAAAAACAAAAUUUAUUCCAUUCUAGCUCAUUGCAGUUGCAUUCAUCUUACAAAUUCACAAAUCACAAAAAUCAUCACAAUCACACAUCUGGGCAUAUCCAAACACACAUCUGGGCAUCACAAAAUCAAUAUGAAGCGCAUCACAAAAUUAAUGAGAAUAAAACAGAGACUUGCCAUUGACGAUGAAAUCCUAAAGCCGUUGUUGCCAAGCUCGACGCCGGAGGAGGAAGUCAACGUCAAUGGUGCUUCGGCGGUCAUCGUCGCUCGAGUAGAUCUAGAGGAGGCGACUACCGGUGACCUUGGGGCAGAGUGCGAAAGAGGAGGUGGCCGGAGCAUGGGGGCAUCUAGAUCCGGUGGUCUCCAACCACCUUGAGAUCGGAUCUGGCACCAAGGAGCUCGAGGUGACGGAGAGAUAGCGGUCGGCGACCUUGGGACGAAGAGAGGAGGCGGCGACUAGAGCAUGGGGGUUGUCCAGAUCCUGUGGUCCCCAACCAUCUGGAGACCGGAUCUAGUGCCAAGGAGCUUAGGGCAGUGAAGUGACGGGGGUCGAUCGGCGACCUUAGGCGGUGGGCGAGGGAGGCGGCAGCCCCGAGCUCAUGGAGGCCAGCAGCGAGUGAAGGAGAUGGCGACGCUUUGUUUGGUUUGUUGUAAUGUGAUCAGUUACUGUUUGGUUUGUUUGAUGCCAAAAAUGUGUUCACACUUACAGAAAUCAGACUCAAACGGUGCAGAAGAAGUCCGUUACUGCCAUUUCCUGUUUCAAAAGUAAAUGGUGAAUCGUAAUGAUGAGCAAAUAAUGAGAAGUGACAAGGUGACCAUCCCAUAUAUAUUGCAGAUUGGGGUGUGUAUGCUCAUAUUGAUAGUUGGCAGAAGUGAACAAACAUGACCAUUAUAUUGCAAAAACAGAGAGAGUUCAGCUAGGCUCAGUUGACUGUACAAAUUAGGAGGAAUCCAACUUCCAAUAAUCUAUGCGGGUACUGCAAGCUCAUAUAUAUGACAAGGUUUGGGUGGCUAGGAUUGGGAAGCAUCAGGAAAUGAAGAUUAACCACAGCUUUGGAAAGGUAGGCAAAUCAGCUAGUACAAUAUAACGCAUCUUCUAAUCUCAAUUAUAGGUUCAUAUAGCUGUGCUUCCAGCUCUUGAUCAAGGAACAGACGUUGGAUGUCCAUGGCCUAUUCGGAAAGCAUUGCAGGAACCACGAGCGCUGGGAUUAUCUCGGAGCUACGAGCCUCCUACACAUUCAGUGAUUGGAACUCAAUUGCUCUUGCGGAAUGAGGACGCGGUAAUGUUCUUGCCUGCUUUGAUUCUAAAUUUAGCCUUCUGGAAGCCGCAGUAUAUCACUGUUCCGUGAGAUUUGUUGGAUCAAGAGAGAUUGCAGCAACUCAGAAGAAUUUUUGUUCUCGAGAAACUGGCAAGAUAUCUGCCUUGAUUUGUAUUAUGGAUGGUGCGAAUCACAUGACCAGAGUAGUAUCUAAUUGCUGUAUAUUAACAAGGUUAAUUCUCGUCACAAGACAUAUAGGCAACUCAAUCUGUGUGAUGUACAGAAUUUUAUCAUGAAGGCAACUCUUUUUGAAA